This 167-nucleotide ribosomal RNA is filed under the name uncultured bacterium. Its description in RNAcentral is "partial 16S ribosomal RNA". It matches the Rfam family "Bacterial small subunit ribosomal RNA", at positions 355 to 511 of the family's 1533-position model. The record is from RNAcentral.
UAGGGAAGUCUUCCACAAUGGACGGAAAGUACUGAUGGAGCAACGCCGCGUGAGUGAAGAAGGGUUUCGGCUCGUAAAACUCUGUUGUUAAAGAAGAACAUAUCUGGGAGUAACUGUUCAGGUAUUGACGGUAUUUAACCAGAAAGCCACGGCUAACUACGUGCCAG